RNAcentral lists this ribosomal RNA (378 nucleotides) under uncultured bacterium. RNAcentral describes it as "bacterial SSU rRNA". It matches the Rfam family "Bacterial small subunit ribosomal RNA", at positions 975 to 1375 of the family's 1533-position model. The record is from RNAcentral.
CAACCCUUGACAUCCCGGGACCGGCCCAGAGAUGGGUCUUUCACUUCGGUGACCCGGUGACAGGUGCUGCAUGGCUGUCGUCAGCUCGUGUCGUGAGAUGUUCGGUUAAGUCCGGCAACGAGCGCAACCCACAUCCUUAGUUGCCAGCAGUUCGGCUGGGCACUCUAGGGAAACUGCCCGUGAUAAGCGGGAGGAAGGUGUGGAUGACGUCAAGUCCUCAUGGCCCUUACGGGUUGGGCUACACACGUGCUACAAUGGUGGUGACAGUGGGUUAAUCCCCAAAAGCCAUCUCAGUUCGGAUUGUCGUCUGCAACUCGACGGCAUGAAGUCGGAAUCGCUAGUAAUCGCGUAACAGCAUGACGCGGUGAAUACGUUCCC